Molecule: long non-coding RNA, 376 nt
Organism: Zingiber officinale
Lineage: Eukaryota; Viridiplantae; Streptophyta; Magnoliopsida; Zingiberales; Zingiberaceae
Exons: 3
Source: RefSeq, a predicted model, not a curated record
AGUUACCAGUGUGUCUCGGAAGGCAACUUUCUACAAUGGACCAAGCUCUACGGACUUCAUAAAUGUCCAUGACAUUUUUCUUGAAUGUGAUCAUGAUUCAAUCAUAUACCUUGGGAAGUCUGUUGAACCAACAAUAUAUGAUCUUUUGGGUGAUCAAGAGGUUUGUAAUCUGGACUUUUCUGAAAACUUUGUAAUAUCUUCUUUCUGCUAUGCUUCUUGGUUAUUUUGGAAUCUUUCUGCCACAAUUUUGCAAUGCAAGGUUGAAAUCUGCUUGUUGAAAAAUGGAAAACCAUCAUGGACGAAGAAGUUUCUUUGCUCCAAAGUCAGGUUGUUGUGUCUUAAGACUGGCUCGAGGUGACAAAAUAUGCUAGAUUGG